This 607-nucleotide unclassified non-coding RNA is filed under the name Hevea brasiliensis (rubber tree). Lineage: Eukaryota; Viridiplantae; Streptophyta; Magnoliopsida; Malpighiales; Euphorbiaceae. The record is from RNAcentral.
GAUCCACCAAAUUCCUUUGGUGUCUUUGGGGCUAUCUUCACUAUCUGGUGGGGAAUCAGAUUGUGGCGUCUUGUGGAGCUUACUCACGUCGUAGCCUUCUUCUUUAGCCUUCUCAACAAGCUGGUUGUAAAUCUCAUCAUCAAGACGUGUUUGCCUACUUAAUAUCCAUAAAUACCUCCUACUAGGCUGACCAAUCAAAGCAUACUGAUAAUCCUCAUCAAUAUACAAAACCCAAUAAUCACCAGUAACAGGAAUUAUAGGCAAAAAUGGUGGAACAUAAAACCUGACUUUCAAUUUUGCCUCAUCACUAUUAGGGUCAGCCUUAUAAGCAGUUCCUUCAAUAAACCCUCUUUUGCCAUUACACCAUGUCUCAUUCAGCACAUGUACAGUGCCAUCUGAGUUCAAUGUAUAAGUAGCCCUUGUGUCCACUCCAUCUUUAGGCUGAAAUCUUGAUGGAAAUGAAGCAAUUUCAUACCAUCUACCCAUAUACCUCUUUAAAUCAAGAUUUUUCACCACUUCCAUUACUUUUGUAGCCAUUAUUUUGAAGUUUUAACAAAUGGGGUUUUCAAGAUUUGGGAGAUUUUUUGAUAAAAAUGGAAUCUUUAAA